GACGAACGCUGGCGGCGUGCUUAACACAUGCGAGUCGAACGGAAAGACCCUGCUUUUGUGGGGUGCUCGAGUGGCGAACGGGUGAGUAACACGUGAGUAACCUGCCCUUGACUUUGGGAUAACUUCAGGAAACUGGGGCUAAUACCGGAUAGGAGCUCCUGCUGCAUGGUGGGGGUUGGAAAGUUUCGGCGGUUGGGGAUGGACUCGCGGCUUAUCAGCUUGUUGGUGGGGUAGUGGCUUACCAAGGCUUUGACGGGUAGCCGGCCUGAGAGGGUGACCGGCCACAUUGGGACUGGGAUACGGCCCAGACUCCUACGGGAGGCAGCAGUGGGGAAUAUUGCACAAUGGGCGGAAGCCUGAUGCAGCAACGCCGCGUGCGGGAUGACGGCCUUCGGGUUGUAAACCGCUUUCGCCUGUGACGAAGCGUGAGUGACGGUAAUGGGUAAAGAAGCACCGGCUAACUACGUG
Molecule: ribosomal RNA, 468 nt
Filed under: uncultured bacterium
Lineage: Bacteria
Description: partial 16S ribosomal RNA
Rfam family: Bacterial small subunit ribosomal RNA
Source: RNAcentral